This 465-nucleotide ribosomal RNA is filed under the name Vreelandella stevensii. RNAcentral describes it as "partial 16S ribosomal RNA". It matches the Rfam family "Bacterial small subunit ribosomal RNA", at positions 338 to 795 of the family's 1533-position model. Lineage: Bacteria; Pseudomonadati; Pseudomonadota; Gammaproteobacteria; Oceanospirillales; Halomonadaceae. The record is from RNAcentral.
CCUACGGGAGGCAGCAGUGGGGAAUAUUGGACAAUGGGCGAAAGCCUGAUCCAGCCAUGCCGCGUGUGUGAAGAAGGCCUUCGGGUUGUAAAGCACUUUCAGUGGGGAAGAAAGCCUUGGGGCUAAUACCCUCGAGGAAGGACAUCACCCACAGAAGAAGCACCGGCUAACUCCGUGCCAGCAGCCGCGGUAAUACGGAGGGUGCGAGCGUUAAUCGGAAUUACUGGGCGUAAAGCGCGCGUAGGCGGUCUGAUAAGCCGGUUGUGAAAGCCCCGGGCUCAACCUGGGAACGGCAUCCGGAACUGUCAGGCUAGAAUGCAGGAGAGGAAGGUAGAAUUCCCGGUGUAGCGGUGAAAUGCGUAGAGAUCGGGAGGAAUACCAGUGGCGAAGGCAGCCUUCUGGACUGACACUGACGCUGAGGUGCGAAAGCGUGGGUAGCAAACAGGAUUAGAUACCCCUGUAGUC